This 1928-nucleotide ribosomal RNA is filed under the name Triticum aestivum (bread wheat). Its description in RNAcentral is "partial small subunit ribosomal RNA". Lineage: Eukaryota; Viridiplantae; Streptophyta; Magnoliopsida; Poales; Poaceae. The record is from RNAcentral.
UCUUUUAUUUGACUGUUUUCUUUUGGUCGCUUUUUUGGGCAGAACCUGACCGUUGCACGCUUGCUCGCUCGCUUCGGAGAUCCAGGGAAGCGGCAACGGGAGCGUGUAGUUCGGCGGCGGGAGCGGGAGCGGGAACGUCGACGGCGGCUAGGGGAGGGGGUAGAAGGAGGGAGUUUGCGAUCGGGUAGAGCGCCACGCGGUGGCGGGCAGCGCGGGUCUAGGUCACCGCCGACAGCGGGGUGGAGGUCGGCGCUGGCGGGGUGGAGGUCGGCGCCGGCGGCGGGGGUGCAGGGUGGCGCCGGCGACGGGCGCGGUUGCUGGGGAAGGGGGCGGUGGCGCGGUACCCAGAUGAAGCGGUACUCGAGGUCGCGGCUGGUAGGGCGGCGACGAGCACUAGGGGAGAAGGUAGUCGAGGUGAAGUGGUCUUGGCUUUUAGUCGGUUCUAUGUGUUGUUUGUAUAGUCGGCGUCGAUCGACGAUACGCGUGUACACGUUUUUGUUUGAAUAAUUAGGAAACGGCGUCUGUUAUGACUUCGUGAUUGUGUUUGUUCUAGGAAGACUUCUAUCACAGACUUACGUUUACUAGUACUGAAUACUUAAACCUCGGUACCGGGUACACAUCCGUUCCCGUUACUAGGGAAAAUGAUGAACUCGCCAGGUUAUCUCUAAUAACUUCCAACAAAGACUUCAACACUAACUGACCUUGGUUUCUUUUCAACCUCUGUAAAAACCACACUUAACGAACCUAAUUCACCCUCACUUCUACAAGAAAGACAGAUAUAUACCAAGAUAAUAACCGUUUAAACACGGAAGCUCUAACGAUGGUUGUCUGGAAAGGCAGGAGUAUAAGGGGCCUAAGCAAAAGACGCUAGCUCGCGGGCUCGCCAACGUAGAACUGCCGUCAAGGGAAAUGUUGGCUCAAUCGAAAUAUGAUACUCGUCACUCGUUCAGUACAUAUUUCGUUUUUGUUUCAUAAUCAGACGAUAGUUUACCAUGUAAAUAAACUUGAGAUUCCCGUCCAGGUCCCAGAGUACUUCUCCCGUACACAAACAUAAUCUAGUCUUCCAAAACGUCAACUGUUCGAAUGUCCAAACUCGUGGGGCUUGUUGCCCCACCCGGGAAACUGGACACCCAAAACGACCAUGGUUCUCUUCCUCCAAGGAAAAUUGGACGUCCUCGAGACGGUUACCGUCGCACGAAAGGAACUGUUACUGCACCAUGACGUGCAUGCGUUCUACGUCGCUCACUUUAGCCGCGUUCUCCCGUAGAACGUUCGUCGUGGUUUAGGAUAUAAUACCCUGGCUUUAAUUCGUACUUCCUCCUUCUAUGGUCGUGGUCGGGGUCGUUAUUUCUGACGCCGUUGCCGCUGCCAUCACACAGGGCCGCUCGCACUCGUUACCGUCGUAGUAGAGACUGAGACUCAUGGACUGGUUCUGCGACGGGUCCAGUGUACAGUUCCUGAAGGAGAACCUGCUACGGCGGAGGAACCGACAACAACAACAGAGGAGUUUAUUCAGCAUAGUCCAUCUCGACUCCUAGUUCCUAAUUCAUAUUUGCGUUACCUCGGGCAACAUAUUGUUGCGUCUCGGCUUCCUCUACGAUAAAAUAACAACGGAAUAGAAACAGCUACGUCAGCUUAUACCCAGAUAAGACCACGGGACAGAAGUAGCAUCGCACACAUACAUUGUACCCCCGGCGGCACUCAUAUCUAGCAGAUCUGAUGGAAAAGACCCGAUGAUUUUAUAUGUUUCUCUGUAGUUCCAGUCUUUAGUUAAUCCCUCCGUGAUUGUAAUACGGAACUAAGUCUACAACAUUUUUUUACGGAACUAAGUCUACCAAGGUAGUUAAAAAACGUAAAUAAUACCUAUUAAACAUAAUCAAAGGAAAACCUCAUUUUUUACCCAACUUUAACUAUAUUAUGUUAAAACC